AAUUCGCCCUUCCGAAUUCGUCGACUUCCGGUUGAUCCUGCGCGGCGGCCACCGCAUAUUGGAUUUCGAUUAAGACAUGCGAGUCGAGAGUCCCUUCGGGGGCUCAGGCGUAUUGCUCAGUAACACGUCGGUACAAUCUGCCCUGGGGAGGGGGAUAACCUCGGGAAACUGAGGAUAAUACCUCAUAGUCCCUGCAGGCUGGAAUGCGGCGGGGAUCAAAUGCUCCGGUGCCCCAGGAUGAGUCUGCGGCCUAUCAGGUUGUAGUGGGUGUAAUGGACCCACUAGCCUUCGACGGGUAUGGGCUUUGAGAGAAGUUGCCCAGAGAUGGACUCUGAGACAUGAGUCCAGGCCCUACGGGGCGCAGCAGUUACGAAAACUUGUCAAUGUGGGAAACCACGAACAGGGGAAUCCAAGUGCCUGCCCAUUGGGUUGGCUGUUCGAUCGCCUUAAAAGCGUUCGCAGGAAGGGCUGGGUAAGACGGGUGCCAGCCGCCGCGGUAAUACCCGCAGCCCUAGUGGUGGUCUUUGUUAUUGAGCCUAAAGCGUCCGUAGCCGGACUGUUAAAUCCUUGGGUAAAUCGGGGGGCUUAACCCACCGAAUUCCGGGGACACUGGCAGUCUAGGGACCGGGAGAGGUAGAAGGUACUUGCGGGGUAGGGGUAAAAUCCUGUAAUCCUGUAAGGACCACCGGUGGCGAAGGCGUUCUACCAGAACGGAUCCGACGGUAAGGGACGAAGCCCUGGGGCGCGAACCGGAUUAGAUACCCGGGUAGUCCAGGGUGUAAACGCUGCAGACUUGGUGUCGGGUGUCCUGUGAGGGCAUCCGGUGCCGGAGCGAAGGUGUUAAGUCUGCCGCUUGGGGCAGUACGGUCGCAAGACUGAAACUUACAAGGAAUUGGCGGGAGAGCACAGCAACGGUGAGGACGCGUGCGGUU
This 932-nucleotide ribosomal RNA is filed under the name uncultured euryarchaeote. RNAcentral describes it as "bacterial SSU rRNA". It matches the Rfam family "Archaeal small subunit ribosomal RNA", at positions 1 to 902 of the family's 1478-position model. The record is from RNAcentral. Lineage: Archaea; Methanobacteriati; Methanobacteriota.